Molecule: ribosomal RNA, 213 nt
Filed under: Triticum aestivum (bread wheat)
Lineage: Eukaryota; Viridiplantae; Streptophyta; Magnoliopsida; Poales; Poaceae
Description: partial small subunit ribosomal RNA
Source: RNAcentral
AUGAAUUGCUUAAGCUGGAAUUGUCGAGGGGCGGGGAACCCUCGCACAGUUCGUGAUCUCGCGGCUCUUGUGACCGCCCAUUCCCCAAAGUUUGUUUUUUUGUGUGAAACGAGAUAGCCUAGAGAUAAAAUGUUUUGUGUUCGUUCUCGUUUAGGUCUUUCAGGUUUUGAAGGAGUCAGUAGUGAAGGUAUGAGUGGAGGUAUUGCUUUAUUU